GACGAACGCUGGCGGCGUGCCUAAUACAUGCAAGUAGAACGCACAGGUUAUACCGUAGCUUGCUACACCAUAGACUGUGAGUUGCGAACGGGUGAGUAACGCGUAGGUAACCUGCCUGGUAGCGGGGGAUAACAAUUGGAAACGAUAGCUAAUACCGCAUAAUAUUAAUUAUUGCAUGCUAAUUAAUUGAACGGUGCAAUUGCACCACUACCAGAUGGACCUGCGUUGUAUUAGAUAGUAGGUGAGGUAACGGCUCACCUAGGGGACGAUACAUAGCCGACCUGUGAGGGUGGUCCGCCACCCUGGGACCGGGACCCGGCCCCGACCCCUUCGGGGGGCAGCAGUAGGGAAUCUUCGGCAAUGGACGAAAGUCUGACCGAGCCACGCCGCGGUGGUGAAGAAGGGUCUCGGAUCUUAAAGCUCCGUUUUUAGAGAAGAACGGGGGUGAGAGUGGAAACUGCACACUGUGACGGUAUCUGACCAGAAAGGGCCGGCUAACUACGUG
This 505-nucleotide ribosomal RNA is filed under the name uncultured bacterium. RNAcentral describes it as "partial 16S ribosomal RNA". It matches the Rfam family "Bacterial small subunit ribosomal RNA", at positions 28 to 507 of the family's 1533-position model. The record is from RNAcentral.